Molecule: RNA transcript, 1466 nt
Organism: Galeopterus variegatus (Sunda flying lemur)
Lineage: Eukaryota; Metazoa; Chordata; Mammalia; Dermoptera; Cynocephalidae
Gene name: sorting nexin-5 pseudogene
Exons: 1
Source: RefSeq, a predicted model, not a curated record
UUCUUUCCUCGCACAGCCAGGCGGCCUCUGCUCGAGGCCCGCGUCGCCAUGGCCGCGGUUCCCGAGUUACUGCAGCAGCAGGAGGAGGACCGCAGCAAGCUGAGAUCUGUAUCUGUGGACCUGAAUGUUGAUCCCUCACUUCAGAUUGACAUACCUGAUGCACUCAGUGAGAGAGAUAAGGUCAAAUUUACAGUGCACACCAAGACCACAUUGCCUACGUUUCAGAGUCCAGAGUUUUCUGUUACAAGGCAACAUGAAGACUUUGUGUGGCUACACGACACUCUUAUUGAAACAACAGACUAUGCUGGGCUUAUUAUUCCACCCGCGCCUACAAAGCCCGACUUUGAUGGCCCUCGAGAGAAGAUGCAGAAGCUGGGAGAAGGUGAAGGGUCCAUGACGAAAGAAGAAUUUGCCAAGAUGAAGCAAGAACUGGAAGCUGAGUAUCUGGCUGUCUUUAAGAAGACUGUGUCCUCCCAUGAAAUCUUUCUUCAGAGACUUUGUUCUCACCCUGUUCUGAGUAAAGAUCACAACUUUCAUGUUUUCUUGGAAUAUGAUCAGUAUCUAAAUGUUAGGUGGAAACUAAGUGUCAGGCAGAAAAAUACCAAAGAGAUGUUUGGUGGAUUUUUCAAAAGUGUGGUGAAAAGUGCUGAUGAAGUCCUUUUUUCUGGAGUUAAGGAGGUAGAUGACUUCUUUGAGCAAGAGAAGAACUUCCUUAUUAAUUAUUACAAUAGGAUCAAGGAUUCCUGUGCAAAAGCUGACAAGAUGACCAGAUCUCAUAAAAAUGUUGCUGAUGACUAUAUCCACACUGCAGCCUGCUUGCACAGCCUGGCUUUACAAGAGCCCACAGUCAUCAAAAAGUACCUAUUGAAGGUUGCUGAGCUAUUUGAAAAACUUAGGAAAGUGGAGGGUCGAGUCUCUUCAGAUGAAGAUUUAAAGCUGACAGAGCUUCUCCGAUACUACAUGCUCAACAUAGAGGCCGCUAAGGAUCUCUUGUACAGAAGCACCAAGGCCCUGAUUGACUAUGAGAACUCAAACAAAGCUCUGGAUAAGGCCCGGUUAAAAAGCAAAGAUGUCAAGUUGGCUGAGGCACACCAGCAGGAAUGCUGCCAGAAAUUUGAACAGCUUUCUGAGUCUGCAAUAGAAGGUCGAGCCAGGGGCAUUCUUUUGUACUUUUUACAUUUUAUUUGGAAAUGAUUUCAAGCUUAGAGGAAAAGUUGCACAAAAAGUACAAAAACACCCAAGUCUCCUUCACCUAGAGUCAGCAUGUGGCCCCUCUGGUUUAUCACUUGCACAUGCCUGCUGGCCCUCACAGCUCCUGUGUGUGUCCGUAAACCAUUUGAUAUUACAUUGCAUAUAUUAUGAUCCUUUUAUCCCUAAAAAUGUUGUCAUGUAUGUCCUGAGACUAAAGUCAUUCUCUGUCAUCCCUGCCAUAGUUAUCCACUGCAGUAAAUUUAACUUUGAUAUGA